CAGUAUGAUUAGAGGGGUUUUGCUGCUGGCCUGCAAAGGCAUGUGCGCGCCCCUCGACUUCAAUCCACAUACACCUGUGCACCCAAUGGCUUGUCAGUCUCCCAGCCUUCGCGGGCUGAGUUUCCCUCGAGAGAGGGGAAAGAGCUGGUGGGCCAUUAAAACAUAUACACCAAUACCUGUUAUAACGCAUGUUUAUCUGCUCUACGGAGCUUUAACAAAAUA
Molecule: unclassified non-coding RNA, 222 nt
Filed under: uncultured Agaricomycetes
Lineage: Eukaryota; Fungi; Basidiomycota; Agaricomycetes
Description: sequence contains ITS1
Source: RNAcentral